RNAcentral lists this ribosomal RNA (479 nucleotides) under uncultured bacterium. RNAcentral's name for it is "partial 16S ribosomal RNA". It matches the Rfam family "Bacterial small subunit ribosomal RNA", at positions 28 to 507 of the family's 1533-position model. The record is from RNAcentral.
GACGAACGCUGGCGGCGUGCUUAACACAUGCAAGUCGAACGAAGCUUGAUUACGGAUUCUUCGGAUGAAGUAUGAUAUGACUGAGUGGCGGACGGGUGAGUAACGCGUGAGUAACCUGCCCUUCAGAGGGGGAUAGCGUUUGGAAACGAACGGUAAUACCGCAUAAUGUAUUUUGACCGCAUGAUCGAAAUACCAAAGAUUUAUCGCUGAAGGAUGGACUCGCGUCUGAUUAGGUAGUUGGGGGGGUAACGGCCUACCAAGCCGACGAUCAGUAGCCGGACUGAGAGGUUGCUCGGCCACAUUGGGACUGAGACACGGCCCAGACUCCUACGGGAGGCAGCAGUGGGGAAUAUUGCACAAUGGGCGCAAGCCUGAUGCAGCAACGCCGCGUGAAGGAAGACGGUUUUCGGAUUGUAAACUUCUGUUCUUAGUGAAGAAUAAUGACGGUAGCUAAGGAGCAAGCCACGGCUAACUACGUG